This 209-nucleotide long non-coding RNA is filed under the name Elaeis guineensis (African oil palm). Its description in RNAcentral is "long non-coding RNA (EGUI_LNC055138)". The record is from RNAcentral. Lineage: Eukaryota; Viridiplantae; Streptophyta; Magnoliopsida; Arecales; Arecaceae.
GAGUUAAACUCUUUUGCAAGGAAAAAGAUAUCUUGAGGCAGUACACCAACACUUAUAAACCAUAAUAAAAUAGAGUUAUGGAAAGAAUAAACCAUACAUCAAUAGAACAGACUCAUAGUAUGUUGAGCAAUAUUGGUUUGGAGUGUAAGUUAUGAGCCGAGGUCAUGUCUAUAGUAUAUUAUCUUGUCAACUGCUCACCUUCCAUGGCC